AGUGAACGCUGGCGGUAGGCCUAACACAUGCAAGUCGAACGGCAGCACAGGAGAGCUUGCUCUCUAGGUGGCGAGUGGCGGACGGGUGAGGAAUACAUCGGAAUCUGCCCAGUCGUGGGGGAUAACGUAGGGAAACUUACGCUAAUACCGCAUACGACCUUCGGGUGAAAGAGGGGGAUCGCAAGACCUCUCGCGAUUGGAUGAGCCGAUGUCGGAUUAGCUAGUUAGCGGGGUAAUGGCCCGCCAAGGCGACGAUCCGUAGCUGGUCUGAGAGGAUGAUCAGCCACACUGGAACUGAGACACGGUCCAGACUCCUACGGGAGGCAGCAGUGGGGAAUAUUGGACAAUGGGCGCAAGCCUGAUCCAGCCAUACCGCGUGGGUGAAGAAGGCCUUCGGGUUGUAAAGCCCUUUUGUUGGGAAAGAAAUCUUUCAGGCUAAUACCCUGGGAGGAUGACGGUACCCAAAGAAUAAGCACCGGCUAACUUCGUG
This 490-nucleotide ribosomal RNA is filed under the name uncultured bacterium. Its description in RNAcentral is "partial 16S ribosomal RNA". It matches the Rfam family "Bacterial small subunit ribosomal RNA", at positions 29 to 507 of the family's 1533-position model. The record is from RNAcentral.